UGAGCUAUGAGGAGAAUAACAUUAUUGUGAUUAUAUAUGAUCCACGUAUACGCUAUUCUGAGCCACAA
Molecule: small nucleolar RNA, 68 nt
Filed under: Gouania willdenowi (blunt-snouted clingfish)
Lineage: Eukaryota; Metazoa; Chordata; Actinopteri; Blenniiformes; Gobiesocidae
Description: Small nucleolar RNA U54 (ENSGWIG00000020914.1)
Rfam family: Small nucleolar RNA U54
Source: Rfam by way of RNAcentral